GAUGAAGAACGCAGCGAAAUGCGAUAAGUAGUGUGAAUUGCAGAAUUCAGUGAAUCAUCGAAUCUUUGAACGCACAUUGCGCCCUUUGGUAUUCCUUAGGGCAUGCCUGUUCGAGCGUCAUUUAAACCUUCAAGCUAAGCUUGGUGUUGGGUGACUGUCCGCUUCACGGCGGACUCGCCCCAAAAUUAUUGGCGGCCGGUACAUUGGCUUCGAGCGCAGCAGAAACGCGAACUCGGGCCCGUCGUAUUGGCUCCCAGAAGCUAUCUUCACAAUUUUGACCUCGGAUCAGGUAGGGAUACCCGCUGAACUUAAGCAUAUCAAUAAGCGGAGGA
This 332-nucleotide unclassified non-coding RNA is filed under the name soil metagenome. RNAcentral's name for it is "partial contains 5.8S ribosomal RNA, internal transcribed spacer 2, and large subunit ribosomal RNA". The stretch from base 1 to 120 matches the Rfam family "5.8S ribosomal RNA", at positions 35 to 154 of the family's 154-position model. The record is from RNAcentral.